GCCGGCGUUUCCUUCCGGUCUUCUUCGCCGCGGUUGCCCCUCGCAUACCUUUGACUACCUUUGGCGAGUGAGGAGGCUCCUUGCCCAGUGUGGGGCUUGAAUUCAUGACCCUGAGAUCAAGAGUCAAAUGCUCUAUGAGCCAGCCAGUCCAAGCACAAAUGUGGAUCACUGAAGACAGUACUGGAAGCGCCAGUUGCAGGUACAUUGCAGUUAUCAUUAAAUGAGCCAGAAGGUAGAAAAACUUUUUAUUUUAUGGGGGGACUUGACUGGGCAGUACUAGUAGGAGAUGAAA
Long non-coding RNA from Panthera uncia (snow leopard), 292 nucleotides. RefSeq lists it as uncharacterized. The record is from RefSeq and is a predicted model, not a curated record. NCBI's taxonomy places the organism in Eukaryota, Metazoa, Chordata, Mammalia, Carnivora, Felidae. The transcript has 3 exons.